Molecule: ribosomal RNA, 600 nt
Filed under: uncultured bacterium
Lineage: Bacteria
Description: partial 16S ribosomal RNA
Rfam family: Bacterial small subunit ribosomal RNA (bases 1-308)
Source: RNAcentral
CAGCGGCGUACGGGUAGCGGAACACGUGUGCAACCUGCCUUUAUCUGGGGGAUAGCCUUUCGANAAGGAAGAUUAAUACCCCAUAAUAUGUUGAAUGGCAUACAUUCGACAUUGAAAACUCCGGUGGAUAGAGAUGGGCACGCGCAAAGAUUAGAUAGUUGGUGAGGUAACGGCUCACCAAGUCUACCGGAUCUUUAGGGGGGCCUGAGAGGGUGAUCCCCCACACUGGUACUGAGACCACNGGGAACCCAAGAACUACCUUAAAGCCGGGACGGAGGCAAGGGGGGCCAAAGAGCCAACAGGGACGCUUAUAGGAACACGGCGGGGCACAACACGUUUCAAACUUAUCAGGGAGGGAAACCCCAGAACACUAUGAGGGGAGGACGAGUUUCACGGGCAAACUGGACAACNCUGGGCACACACCGUUUNAGGGANCAGUUUCCCGCACAAGAGGGUGUACCAAUUAGACACCACCUGAACCGGCUUUCUGGGAACACAUCUGCGGGGGGGAAAACCCCUCCUACGGGGAGAAAACNACCCCCAUUUUAGGGGGGACACGACGACCGCCCCUUUNUAAUAAAGCGCUUUUNUCGGCGCGAC